RNAcentral lists this transfer RNA (73 nucleotides) under Tupaia belangeri chinensis (Chinese tree shrew). RNAcentral's name for it is "Tupaia chinensis (Chinese tree shrew) tRNA". It matches the Rfam family "tRNA". Rfam says of the family: Transfer RNA (tRNA) molecules are approximately 80 nucleotides in length. Their secondary structure includes four short double-helical elements and three loops (D, anti-codon, and T loops). Further hydrogen bonds mediate the characteristic L-shaped molecular structure. tRNAs have two regions of fundamental functional importance: the anti-codon, which is responsible for specific mRNA codon recognition, and the 3' end, to which the tRNAs corresponding amino acid is attached (by aminoacyl-tRNA synthetases). tRNAs cope with the degeneracy of the genetic code in two manners: having more than one tRNA (with a specific anti-codon) for a particular amino acid; and 'wobble' base-pairing, i.e. permitting non-standard base-pairing at the 3rd anti-codon position. The record is from Rfam by way of RNAcentral. Lineage: Eukaryota; Metazoa; Chordata; Mammalia; Scandentia; Tupaiidae.
CGGGGUGUAGCUCAGUGGUAGAGCAUGUGCUUAGCAUGCAGGUAGACCCCAGGUUCGAUCCCUGGUACCUCCA